CCUACGGGAGGCAGCAGUGAGGAAUAUUGGUCAAUGGACGAGAGUCUGAACCAGCCAAGUAGCGUGAAGGAUGACUGCCCUAUGGGUUGUAAACUUCUUUUAUAUGGGAAUAAAACAGGGUAUGCAUACCCUCUUGUAUGUACCAUAUGAAGAAGGAUCGGCUAACUCCGGGCCAGGAGCCGCGGUAAUACAGAGGAUCCGAGCGUUAUGCGGUUUGAUUGGGUUUAAAGGGAGCGUAGGUGGGUUGUUAAGUUAGUUGUGAAAGUUCGCGGCUCAAACGUACAAUGGCAGUUGAAACUGGCAGUCUUGAGUACAGUAGAGGUAGGCGGAAUUCGAGGUGUAGCGGUGAAAUGCUUAGAUAUCACGAAGAACUCCGAUUGCGAAGGCAGCUCACUGGGCUGCAACUGACACUGAUGCUCGAAAGUGUGGGUAUCAAACAGGAUUAGAUACCCGUGUAGUC
RNAcentral lists this ribosomal RNA (460 nucleotides) under uncultured bacterium. RNAcentral describes it as "partial 16S ribosomal RNA". It matches the Rfam family "Bacterial small subunit ribosomal RNA", at positions 338 to 795 of the family's 1533-position model. The record is from RNAcentral.